UUUAUAUGGGUAAAACAUGCAUG
Molecule: small nuclear RNA, 23 nt
Filed under: Arabidopsis thaliana (thale cress)
Lineage: Eukaryota; Viridiplantae; Streptophyta; Magnoliopsida; Brassicales; Brassicaceae
Description: snRNA_11521
Source: RNAcentral